UUAACCAAGGUACAGAAUUAUUAUAUUAUUAUAUGAAUACAAUAAAGAUUUAACCUGGGCCUAGUAGGCAAUCAUAUGCCUAAACAGAGGAUGAACAGCGCGUGUAGAUUUCCCACUGCAGAGCACGUGUGUGCAGGCGAAAGGGAAGAAUGGUCCGUAGACAACACCGACUCGAGUUAUUAGAAGCUGUCGAAGAUGUGGUGUGGGUGUAAGAUAUGGCUCUUGAUUAGACGACUCAAUAUGAUAGAGACCGGAGGUAUAGUGGUCAGCGAAAAACACCUUUUUACGGGAGCUCCGGGAGAUGAUCUAUAGCAACUUUACAAAAAAAAAAAAAAAAAAAAAAAACUAAAAUAUAGUUGAAAAUACGACAGCAAAUGUAUAAAAUUUCACAUUAAUAAACUUAAGUUUUCUCAAAAAUUCUAGAAAAA
Long non-coding RNA from Melitaea cinxia (Glanville fritillary), 428 nucleotides. RefSeq lists it as uncharacterized. The transcript has 2 exons. The record is from RefSeq and is a predicted model, not a curated record. NCBI's taxonomy places the organism in Eukaryota, Metazoa, Arthropoda, Insecta, Lepidoptera, Nymphalidae.